Molecule: non-coding RNA, 77 nt
Organism: Podarcis lilfordi (Lilford's wall lizard)
Lineage: Eukaryota; Metazoa; Chordata; Lepidosauria; Squamata; Lacertidae
Source: the annotation of a GenBank genome assembly
CUUUGAUAGCACCGGUAGAGUUCACAAGCUGCUGGGUCUGAUUCAAGGCUUGUGAACUCUACCGGUGCUAUGAAACU